GAUGAACGCUGGCGGCGUGCCUAAUACAUGCAAGUCGAGCGAACAGAUGAGGAGCUUGCUCCUCUGACGUUAGCGGCGGACGGGUGAGUAACACGUGGAUAACCUACCUAUAAGACUGGGAUAACUUCGGGAAACCGGAGCUAAUACCGGAUAAUAUAUUGAACCGCAUGGUUCAAUAGUGAAAGACGGUUUUGCUGUCACUUAUAGAUGGAUCCGCGCCGCAUUAGCUAGUUGGUAAGGUAACGGCUUACCAAGGCGACGAUGCGUAGCCGACCUGAGAGGGUGAUCGGCCACACUGGAUCUGAGACACGGUCCAGACUCCUACGGGAGGCAGCAGUAGGGAAUCUUCCGCAAUGGGCGAAAGCCUGACGGAGCAACGCCGCGUGAGUGAUGAAGGUCUUCGGAUCGUAAAACUCUGUUAUUAGGGAAGAACAAAUGUGUAAGUAACUAUGCACGUCUUGACGGUACCUAAUCAGAAAGCCACGGCUAACUACGUG
RNAcentral lists this ribosomal RNA (497 nucleotides) under uncultured bacterium. Its description in RNAcentral is "partial 16S ribosomal RNA". It matches the Rfam family "Bacterial small subunit ribosomal RNA", at positions 28 to 507 of the family's 1533-position model. The record is from RNAcentral.